UGCGCAGGCGGCCGUGUGUGUGAGGCGUGAAAGCCUGGAGCUUAACUCCAGAAUUGCACCUCAAACUACAUGGCUAGAGCAUUGGAGAGGGUAGCAGAAUUCAUGGUGUAGCAGUGAAAUGCGUAGAUAUCAUGAGGAAUACCAGAGGCGAAGGCGGCUACCUGGACAAUUGCUGACGCUCAGGCACGAAAGCGUGGGGAGCAAAAGGGAUUAGAUACCCCUGUAGUCCACGCCCUAAACGGUGCACACUAGGUCUUGGCGGAUUCGACCCCACCAGGGCCCAAGCUAACGCGUUAAGUGUGCCGCCUGAGGACUACGGUCGCAAGACUAAA
RNAcentral lists this ribosomal RNA (332 nucleotides) under uncultured Verrucomicrobiae bacterium. Its description in RNAcentral is "bacterial SSU rRNA". It matches the Rfam family "Bacterial small subunit ribosomal RNA", at positions 568 to 898 of the family's 1533-position model. The record is from RNAcentral. Lineage: Bacteria; Pseudomonadati; Verrucomicrobiota; Verrucomicrobiia.